GGGCCCGUGGUCUAGUGGUCAUGACGCAUCCUUGACGUGGAUGAGGUCGCCAGUUCGAACCUGGCCGGGCCCA
This 73-nucleotide transfer RNA is filed under the name Candidatus Woesearchaeota archaeon. RNAcentral describes it as "tRNA-Val". It matches the Rfam family "tRNA". Rfam says of the family: Transfer RNA (tRNA) molecules are approximately 80 nucleotides in length. Their secondary structure includes four short double-helical elements and three loops (D, anti-codon, and T loops). Further hydrogen bonds mediate the characteristic L-shaped molecular structure. tRNAs have two regions of fundamental functional importance: the anti-codon, which is responsible for specific mRNA codon recognition, and the 3' end, to which the tRNAs corresponding amino acid is attached (by aminoacyl-tRNA synthetases). tRNAs cope with the degeneracy of the genetic code in two manners: having more than one tRNA (with a specific anti-codon) for a particular amino acid; and 'wobble' base-pairing, i.e. permitting non-standard base-pairing at the 3rd anti-codon position. The record is from RNAcentral. Lineage: Archaea; Nanobdellati; Candidatus Woesearchaeota.